RNAcentral lists this transfer RNA (74 nucleotides) under candidate division WS2 bacterium ADurb.Bin280. Its description in RNAcentral is "tRNA-Gln". It matches the Rfam family "tRNA". From Rfam's summary of the family: Transfer RNA (tRNA) molecules are approximately 80 nucleotides in length. Their secondary structure includes four short double-helical elements and three loops (D, anti-codon, and T loops). Further hydrogen bonds mediate the characteristic L-shaped molecular structure. tRNAs have two regions of fundamental functional importance: the anti-codon, which is responsible for specific mRNA codon recognition, and the 3' end, to which the tRNAs corresponding amino acid is attached (by aminoacyl-tRNA synthetases). tRNAs cope with the degeneracy of the genetic code in two manners: having more than one tRNA (with a specific anti-codon) for a particular amino acid; and 'wobble' base-pairing, i.e. permitting non-standard base-pairing at the 3rd anti-codon position. The record is from RNAcentral.
UCCGGGGUGGUGUAAUGGCAGCACGGCUGACUCUGGAUCAGUCAAUCUAGGUUCGAAUCCUAGCCCCGGAGCCA